RNAcentral lists this ribosomal RNA (264 nucleotides) under uncultured bacterium. Its description in RNAcentral is "partial 16S ribosomal RNA". It matches the Rfam family "Bacterial small subunit ribosomal RNA", at positions 793 to 1055 of the family's 1533-position model. The record is from RNAcentral.
GUCCACGCUGUAAACGAUGAACACUAGAUGUCGGGAGAGGUUUCUUCCGGUGUCGUCGCUAACGCAGUAAGUGUUCCGCCUGGGGAGUACGCUCGCAAGGGUGAAACUCAAAGGAAUUGACGGGGGCCCGCACAAGCGGUGGAGCAUGUGGUUUAAUUCGAUGCAACGCGAAGAACCUUACCUGGGCUUGACAUGGGAACGACCGCUCGAGAGAUCGAGCUUUCUCUUCGGAGACGUUCCGCACAGGUGCUGCAUGGCUGUCGU